Long non-coding RNA from Zalophus californianus (California sea lion), 1141 nucleotides. RefSeq lists it as uncharacterized. Lineage: Eukaryota; Metazoa; Chordata; Mammalia; Carnivora; Otariidae. The transcript is spliced from 5 exons. The record is from RefSeq and is a predicted model, not a curated record.
AUGAGCAAGCCGCCACCACGCGAAGGCACUGGGGCACAGCCAGCGUGAGGCACCGAGGUCCCUUCCCAGGGCUUGUUAACACUGUAACCCGGCACUCCGAAGGAAGCAGCUCCACUGCCCAGAGCCUAUCUCACCGCUCAUCAGAUGACUCUGGCUUCUACAUACGGUUGGAGUCCCGCUUGAAACCUGGAUUUAGAGGGGCUCUCUCGCUGCCAUGACACUCAAUCAAAGCACCUAGAGUGGGCUGGCCGAGACCAGAGCGGGUGCCAAGCAGAACAAGUACAGAGGAAGGCACUGAGAGAGCACCAGAACUGGAAAUAAAGCAGCCAUUUGGAUUUGGGCAGGAAGCAGCAGAGCACAGCUUUGGAUCCUUCUUUAGGGAAAUCGAGUUAUGGAUUUAUGGUCCCGGUCAAGCUCAGCCCAGCCCCAGCCAGGGGCGGGCUCAGCAGCAAGAGUUCUGGUGGCGGCGGCGGCGGCAGCAGCGGCGAGCAGUAGCAGCGGCAGCAGCAGCUUGGUCCUCUGACUCUCUUCGGUGACGGGUAUUCUUGGGUGGAUAAUACGGAUUACGUUGUUAUUGCUUAAGAAUACGCGUAGUCGAGGAGAGUACCAGCGGCAGGCGGGCAGCGGCCGCCCCUCCCAGCCCACCAGCUGGCCUCUAAACGCCUGUGGUUGCCAAGAAGUAUAUGAGAACAAUUUUGCUGGGUAUAUGUUUACUUCAAUUCAACCAUUUGGAGAAAUAAUGAAAAUUCUGAUGAGUUUUAAAACUCAUAGUACAAACAUGCAUUGAUCUAUCAUCACAGGGGCAUGUGAUGUAACUGUGGCCAAUGAGACACAAGGCAACAUCUUCUAGAAAGAUUUUUCCCCACUCUUCAGACAAAAGGAAGAGAUGCCUUUCAUCCAACCUUUGAACAGUCUUACAAGAAGCUGUUUGAAGCUGCUGUAGCCAUCUUGUAAGGCUAGAGAGAAUACCUGACUUUCUAAGGAAGACAGAGAAGAGAGUCUCUGAACCAACCCUGGACCACCCUACUUCUAUUAAAAGUUCUUGAUAUGUGACAUAAUAAAUUUUCCUUAUUGUUUAAACCACUUUUAGUUGGGUCUUCUGUUUCUUGCAGUUGAAAUUGAUAUACUCAUUGUUUAUUUC